RNAcentral lists this ribosomal RNA (435 nucleotides) under uncultured bacterium. RNAcentral's name for it is "partial 16S ribosomal RNA". It matches the Rfam family "Bacterial small subunit ribosomal RNA", at positions 28 to 507 of the family's 1533-position model. The record is from RNAcentral.
GACGAACGCUGGCGGUAUGCUUAACACAUGCAAGUCGAACGGACUCUUCGGAGUUAGUGGCGGACGGGUGAGUAACGCGUGAGAAUCUGGCUUUGGGUUCGGGACAACCACUGGAAACGGUGGCUAAUACCGGAUGUGCCGAGAGGUAAAAGAGAAAUUGCCUGAAGAUGAGCUCGCGUCUGAUUAGCUAGUUGGUGAGGUAAAGGCUCACCAAGGCAGCGAUCAGUAGCUGGUCUGAGAGGAUGACCAGCCACACUGGGACUGAGACACGGCCCAGACUCCUACGGGAGGCAGCAGUGGGGAAUUUUCCGCAAUGGGCGAAAGCCUGACGGAGCAAUACCGCGUGAGGGAAGAAGGCUCUUGGGUUGUAAACCUCUUUUCUUAGGGAAGAACAAAAUGACGGUACCUAAGGAAUCAGCAUCGGCUAACUCCGUG